This 2571-nucleotide unclassified non-coding RNA is filed under the name Hevea brasiliensis (rubber tree). Lineage: Eukaryota; Viridiplantae; Streptophyta; Magnoliopsida; Malpighiales; Euphorbiaceae. The record is from RNAcentral.
GAUUUGAGUAGGCAAGUUCUCCUGCAAAUGCAGAGUAGUUGUGAAAAAAGACUGACUUGGUUAAUUGUCAUCUGCCUUCUCAAAACCUUGUUAACAUGUCCAACAGAUAUUAACUACUGCUACAAGAAAACUCAGAUCAUUAUGAACUCACAGUAACUUGGGCAACAAGGGUAAGGAAUAGAAAGAAGUACCUAAAUCACAUCCCAAAUAUCAAGUUUAUUCAGGAAAAUAAAGCUAUCAAACGUCUACUUGCCUACUAGGAGACCUUGCUGCUGAAACUGCUCCAGCAAUUGAUGUUAACUCAAGUUUUAUGCAGUUGGUAUGAAUUGGAUUUCCAAAGUGUUUAAGGUGGAAAAUGAAAAUUUAAGGUGAACAGUGAAGGGAGAACAGGAGCAAAUGGAUCUAAAUCAGAUAUUUGCAGGCAAGAUAAGGGUCAUAAUGACAUUAUAAGAUAGAAGUCCAAAAAUUUAAAUACCACUCCUAAACAAAUAAAAUAACCUGGUCUAUCAAGGAUACUCCAGCGUCCAGACUCAGUGCAGUGAUGGAACAUGAAGAAAUAGCCUUGAUGCACAGUGAACUACAUCAGAAUUAUUAUGGCCAAGUUAUUCCAAUGGCAUGGAUGCUUCUGCAACAUGGGAAUGCAUCCAUGCCAUGGGAAUCACAUUAAUAUUUCUGCUAAACACUGAUUGUGGAUCUUGAAAGUGGCUACUAGUAGAAAAUGGAAAUAAUAAGAAAACAAAAUGUUUGUCUCCUAUGUGCAUCAUAAACUAGCAAAGGUACACAAUGCUGUUAAAGUAUGAAAAUAUUAGAACCACUUGUACCAAGUUCAAUUGAGCCACUAGUCCCCAAACAAUAAUCCAAGUUCUAUUAUUUCCCAACCUUCAAUAAUUUUUCAAUUCCCUCUGAAUUUGAACAUGAUGUGAACAAUGUUGUUGCAUUAAAAAAAUUGCUUGCGCAAAUAACCCGCUGACAAACUAUACUUGCCUUAGGCAUUACAGUGACUUGCUCCUCAAUGACAUACUCCAUCUCCAUCUCCAUGUGCAGAAGUAGGAACAUUCUGAACACACUUUUUACCUUAAAAGGGGAAUGUUCUACCCACCUCAAGAUUGCUAUAAAGUCAAUCUGUGUCUUGGAGAUCAAAUGAUUGAAACAGCGCCUUCACUGCUACAUAAACAGCAAAAAAGAAUAUACUCAUUUAUUAACAGAGAAACUAGAUGCUACGCAAGACAGCUAAAUACACAUUUUAUAGAAACUCACUUAUUAAGACAACAAAAUUAGUAAAACAUUAAGUUAGCAGUGGAUGGAAAAAAAAACCCUAGAUAAAUCCAGCAAAUUAUCCCCAGAGAUAUGGCAAGCAUACACUUCUAAUCACUAAAUGCUCAGAAUAGCCAUUUUAUUUCCAUAUGAAGGAAAAGUAAUUACAAAAAUUGCAAGAUACAGCCACAAUGUUUUCACCUGAGGGAAGAACCAAGACAACAAUGUGAAUUCUUAGCUAGGGAGGAAUAAAAGAAAAACAACAGAAGGUUGCUAAGGAAAAAAAUACAUAUGAAUUGAGUACACGUAUGCCCUCUAGUUAGAUUCAGAACCAACACCAAGUGAGACUUCUAGAAAAUCAUAAGCAGGUUUGGACUUUUCAGAGCUUCAACAUUUUUUAUGCUGAAAGCCAACCCUUGUCCCCUAAAUGUCAACAGAGACUACAAAUCAUCAGUACUAGAGACAGCAACAUUAAACCCACAAUGUAUAGAAUCACAAAAAGGAAAUUCAAUACAAUCAAAUCAGGGAAAGAAGCAUAAUUACCAAGAGAAAAAGGAUUCAUGAAGGAGAAGAAACACCAACUCUCAUGAUGAUCCUAGUCAUCUUCACUCCAAUCAAGGUGACAUUCUCAGCACCAACAAAUUUGGACCCCCUAAACAGUCUAACAAUCUCACCCACCUCUUCUUCUCCACACUCAUCCACAACUAUCACACACACCCCUCCUCUCCUCACCGUCCUCUCCAUCUCCCCAGCAAACCUCAAUGGAAAAAGUGCCUCCACCAAACGCGCACUGAAAGCCAAAUCAAACAUCCCAUCGAAAAAAGGCAAAUUAUUGGGGUCAGCCCUUCUAACAAGUGGCAAAGAAUCCACCAACUCAACACCAGUAACAUCGCUGACACCCAUAUUAUUCAGCGCCAUAACUUCGUGGCCAGCACCGGCGGAGACACAGAGGACUCUGGAGUGGUUAUGCAAGAGAUUGAGGUGUUGGAGCUGUGAAAAGAAAGCGGUGAAGGAGGAUAGCUGAGAGAGCCAGGACUUGGAGGACCAAAGGCGCUGGUUUUUCUUGGCGAGAGAGAGGUAGGGGUGAUUCAGAGAAGGAUCGCAGGUGGAGGAGGGGAAUUUGACGUGGGGUUUUGUGAUUGGGGCGUUUGGUGGAAUGCAAGUUUCUGGGGUUUGGAGAUAAAGGAGGAGAAGAGUGAUUGUGGCUAUGGAUGCACAAGCUAUGGAGAUUUUGUUCAGGAAAUUCUGUAUGUGAUUUCCCAUUGAUUUCCUGUUCUCAUUUUCUCUGCGAUAACAAAUCAAUGGGAAAUCACAUAC